Molecule: long non-coding RNA, 152 nt
Organism: Herpailurus yagouaroundi (jaguarundi)
Lineage: Eukaryota; Metazoa; Chordata; Mammalia; Carnivora; Felidae
Exons: 3
Source: RefSeq, a predicted model, not a curated record
GUGUGUGUGUGUGUGUGUGUGUGUUCCACAUAAUGGAAUACUACUCAGCGGUGAAAACGAAUGAAAUGUUGCCAUAUGCAACAACAUGGAUGGAACUAGAGGGUAUUAUGCUAAUUGAAAUAAGUCAGAGAAAGAUAAAUAUGUGAUUUCAC